AUCGCUUCUCGGCCUUUUGGCUAAGAUCAAGUGUAGUAUCUGUACAUUAUGUAACUACAGAAGUGUCAUGUUUUAAAUAGGAAAAUAUACAAACUCUUUGGUCAUUUUUGAGUGAGAUGCUAACAGUCUAAUCAGAUUCACUAAUUUAU
Molecule: small nuclear RNA, 149 nt
Filed under: Carassius auratus (goldfish)
Lineage: Eukaryota; Metazoa; Chordata; Actinopteri; Cypriniformes; Cyprinidae
Description: U2 spliceosomal RNA (ENSCARG00000010089.1)
Rfam family: U2 spliceosomal RNA
About the family: U2 is a small nuclear RNA (snRNA) component of the spliceosome (involved in pre-mRNA splicing). Complementary binding between U2 snRNA (in an area lying towards the 5' end but 3' to hairpin I) and the branchpoint sequence (BPS) of the intron results the bulging out of an unpaired adenosine, on the BPS, which initiates a nucleophilic attack at the intronic 5' splice site, thus starting the first of two transesterification reactions that mediate splicing.
Source: Rfam by way of RNAcentral